Molecule: small nucleolar RNA, 134 nt
Organism: Arvicanthis niloticus (Nile rat)
Lineage: Eukaryota; Metazoa; Chordata; Mammalia; Rodentia; Muridae
Product: small nucleolar RNA SNORA17
Source: RefSeq, a predicted model, not a curated record
ACUGACCCUAGAAACAUUGCAAAUGUGGCUUCUGUGUCAUAUGUAUGUCAGUAAAUGGCAGAGAGAAGGAAGGCUAUGUCUACUUCAAUAUUCUGACUUUUAAACAUCUCAUUCUUUAGGAGUAGUCUUACAUU